Molecule: ribosomal RNA, 420 nt
Filed under: Triticum aestivum (bread wheat)
Lineage: Eukaryota; Viridiplantae; Streptophyta; Magnoliopsida; Poales; Poaceae
Description: partial small subunit ribosomal RNA
Source: RNAcentral
AUGUCAGAUUCGUGGACCGGCCCUUCUCGGAUGAGCAUUAUAAACUUUAUGGUGUUCUCCAACAGGCGUAUGUAUUUCCACAAAUCUGUUAAUGCCACUGGACACAUGCAAAACUCUAAGUUUGUUUAUGAGCACAUUAAAGAAGUGGUCGAAGAGAUAGGGCAGGAACAUGUUGUCCAGCUUGUGACCGACAAUGGCUCUAACUUCAAGAAAGCAUGUCUUGAUCUUGUCGUCGAUUUCCCACACAUCACAUGGCAGCCAUGUGCGGCUCACACAAUUAACCUCAUGUUAAAGGAGAUGGGAUGUUUUCCUGAGAUUAAUACAAUGGUCAACAGUUGUAAGAGAAUCUGUAGAUUCAUGUACAAUCAUUCAACUUUGCAUGCUGAAAUGCAGAAGCACAUAGGUGGAGAGUUGGUGUGA